GCCGGGAUGGCGGAAUUGGUAGACGCACAGGACUUAAAAUCCUGAGGGGCGCAAGCCCCGUGCCGGUUCAAGUCCGGCUCUCGGUACAA
RNAcentral lists this transfer RNA (89 nucleotides) under Bacteroidota bacterium. Its description in RNAcentral is "Bacteroidetes bacterium tRNA-Leu". It matches the Rfam family "tRNA". Rfam says of the family: Transfer RNA (tRNA) molecules are approximately 80 nucleotides in length. Their secondary structure includes four short double-helical elements and three loops (D, anti-codon, and T loops). Further hydrogen bonds mediate the characteristic L-shaped molecular structure. tRNAs have two regions of fundamental functional importance: the anti-codon, which is responsible for specific mRNA codon recognition, and the 3' end, to which the tRNAs corresponding amino acid is attached (by aminoacyl-tRNA synthetases). tRNAs cope with the degeneracy of the genetic code in two manners: having more than one tRNA (with a specific anti-codon) for a particular amino acid; and 'wobble' base-pairing, i.e. permitting non-standard base-pairing at the 3rd anti-codon position. The record is from RNAcentral. Lineage: Bacteria; Pseudomonadati; Bacteroidota. RNAcentral also lists the same sequence under 1 other name.